Molecule: long non-coding RNA, 2383 nt
Filed under: Canis lupus familiaris (dog)
Lineage: Eukaryota; Metazoa; Chordata; Mammalia; Carnivora; Canidae
Description: lncRNA (ENSCAFG00845017624.1)
Source: RNAcentral
AGUGUCCAGAAAAGUAUAAACAAACUGGAAAACUGAGAAAACAAUAUUUGCAACAUAUGACGGUUAAAGAUGCACCUUUUAUACAUAGUUAGCUCUCAUGAAUUAAUAAGGAAAAGGGAAAAUAAGACAAAUCACUUUUAAUAAAAUAACUAUAAAUGGUCAAUGAAGCAAGGGAAAACAAUGUUCAAACUUUCUAUUGAUACAGCAAAUCAGUAAAGAUAGAAAAAAAUGAUUAUCUUAGUUACAAUUAUGGCUACUGAACAACUUCCCCUAACUAUCAGCAGCUUAAAAUAACAGACUGUUUCUCACAGUUUCUGUGAGUCAAGCAUCUGGGGUAGCUCAGGGUUGGUUCUGGCUCAAGGUUUUUUAUGAUGUUGCCUUGAAAGAUUGAACUGAAGCCAAAGGAGUCUCUUUCAAACUCAUCCCCUGCCUGCCUCUCCACUGGACUUCCAACAACACGGAUGCUUGCUUUUCUCAGCAUUAAGUGAUAAGAGAGAGAGAGAGAGAGAGAGAGAGAGAGAGAGAGAACAAGAUGGAAAUAGUCUUUUUAUAACUCAGUCUCUGAAGUGAUAGCCCAUCAUUUCUGCUAUGUUCUAUUCGUUAGAACCAAGACACUAAGUGCACCCUACUCUGAAGGGGAGAGAAUCAUUGGACACCAUUUUAGAGGCUAUCUAACGCAAUGAUCAUCUCCAACAUGGCUGGACUAUGAUGAUACAGGUGGGAAAAGAUCCCUCUCCACAAUGGAUUAACAACAGACAUCUGAAGUUGUACUGUUUAAAUAUCUUUGAAUUAUUUUUGUUUAAAAAUGUCAAUGGGUACGAUAGGAAAAGUACAUUUUUUUCCCUGUAACUUCAAAACAACUGAACAGAACCUUUGGACUGAAACCAAGAAUUGAAUGCUUUAGCUUUAAGAAGAUUUUCCUUUCUGAAAAAUAAUGAAUGAGUCUCUUUAUAAGUUUAACUAUUUCAGGUUUCAAUUCUCUGACUUCCAGUGUGCUAUUUUUUUUUAAAUGUAAUGCUUCAUGAGUAAACAUUUUCUUCUUCUUCAGUUUUCUCUCAAGUCAUGUAGACUUCAGAUAUAAAACUUCUAUACAGAUGAGUUACAUCAUGCUUUUAGGUAUGUAAAAAGUAGGGUUCCAUUUUCUUAAUGGCUACUUUUGAGUGUGUAUUCGUGAGUGACAAUGCUUGAGGACAGCCUGCAAAGACUGGUGGAAUGAGAAAGACAUGGUUUUUCUACUUGCUACACAUGGGAUUUUAAUAGAGGUUCAUCUUUGUGAUAUUCCUUGGUGGGGGCACAACAGUGUUUAGUAAUUUUUAUUUAGUAGAUUUAGUGGAUUACAGAAAACGUGUUCAGGCCAUUGUGGAGACUGACCAAGAUCCAUAGUGUCUGAGACUCCAUGUUGGGACCAUUAAUUCCUGAGGUCUGCUUUUAGAUACAGCCAGACAUGCAAAGCAGACAGAUUACCAUAGGCCUUCUGUUUUAGAAAUCAGAACACAUAAGGGCAUCUGGCACACUCUGCUCUGCCUUCCAAACCACCAGAGCUUUCUAAGGCCAUCAAAACUUGCACCUGCUACCUACUUCAAGUGCACACAUUCCUUGACUCACAGUGUUCCAGCUGAAGCCUUCUCAAAUCAUUUGUGGGGAAGGCAAGCCAGUGAAUAAUGUGAAAAUUGCAAAGGCAGAUUUUAAAUUAUAAUGACUUUAUGAAAUUACUCUUAAUAUUCUUAAGUGUACACUGGCUCAUUUUUCCCCCAAGAACACAGUAUAUACAUCCCUUUUGUAUUUCCAUUCAAAACGUGUAUCUAUAAGGCAAAUGCACUCCUCUGUGAAGGAAAUUUGUAUAGAUAAGAUGAAUGGUAACUAUCACCAAGAGUUAAAAUGGUGACUCAGUUGAUAGGUGAAGGUUUAUCAGAAGGAAAAUAUGGAAUGAUAGAUUAGCAAACCUGUUGAUGGACUCAUUUUGCUUUCUUAUUUUCUGCAGUGCUUUUUGAUAAAACCAAAUUUGAUAAACCAAAUUUGGGACAAAGAACUGUAAUACAAAACAGAAUAUAAUAUUAACUUGGUGUGAUAGAAAAUACAUUCUACUGGUUUAUCUUCUAGUCUCCAAAGUGAUUCUAUGGAAUAUAUAUAAUAUGUAAACUAAAGUAAAAAAGUAACAUACUUACUAUAAGAAUUUGUUAUUUUUAUUGAUCAUGAUUUAAUAUUUUAUGAUUACAUAGAAAUAAAGGAGCAGUAUGUUGAGAAUUGUAUUUCAGGAUGAUUUAUCUGGCAUUGUGUGUGCUAAGAAGAGAAAGACUAUGAGAAGAAAAAGUCAAUUUCAUUUCUAGUAAUAAAGAUUAUGUUUUAAAAAUCAGUAUUCCACAUUAAAUUUAUUAUAAUAAGA